This 253-nucleotide ribosomal RNA is filed under the name uncultured bacterium. RNAcentral's name for it is "partial 16S ribosomal RNA". It matches the Rfam family "Bacterial small subunit ribosomal RNA", at positions 524 to 776 of the family's 1533-position model. The record is from RNAcentral.
UACGAGUGCCCCAAGCGUUAUCCGGAAUCAUUGGGCGUAAAGGGUGUGUAGGCGGUUGUGUUAGUCUUUUGUUAAAUUCUUCGGCUUAACCGGGGACAUGCGAAGGAAACGGCACAACUAGAGGAUGCGAGAGGUGAAUGGAACUCAUGGAGUAGGGGUGAAAUCCGUUGAUAUCAUGGGGAACACCAAAAGCGAAGGCAAUUCACUGGCGCACUCCUGACGCUGAGACACGAAAGCGUAGGUAGCGAAUGGG